CUCUCAGCUGUUGGUUUGAGAACUAGAGGAUGCUAUGAUUUAAACAUAGUUAAACCGGUACGAUGUCAGCUAGCUUCAUACUACCAGAUUGUCACUUUGAUUAUUCCAGGCAGCAAUUAACUAGUAAUAUCCGACUUAUACGGUAUCCUACCUUUUCCGUAAUUAGAAGUUGCCGAAACCUUUUCCUAUCCCACUCCCACCCCAAAUCCAUGAUGGCCGACAUCUGUCCACUGACCAAUAAGGAUUGAAGGAAAAAAAAGAGGAUAGGUAAACAAAGGGAAGAAAAAAAGAAGAGUAAAGUUUAAACACAAAACACCUCCAUUACAUUAGUUAGUUUUGCAUGGCGAAUUGGCAAUCAAAGAACUAGAACUAAAAAUUAUUGCUUUACUUUAUUUACAUUGAACGCCUUUUUUCAGACACGAGACGACUGUUGGUUUAGUGUAAUGAUGUUUUAUAUCGAGUUACUUAAAAAAGAAAAAGUGAAUGAAAAUGCUUUAAAUUUCUUUUGAACUUGUUAGAAAUCUGUUCCUUCACUCAUUUUGCAGAAUUAGUUGUCUAGAAAAUGACUGAUGUGAUGCCCUAUCAUUUUUAAUUAAUGUAUUUUAGUAUUUGUCUCACACAUUGUGUCUUGCAUGUUUCGUUGAUGUAGUUCAGGAUGACAGUUAAUUACAUUAAAUUGGACUGCAUCUACAAAGACAACACUUGAGAUCAGCCACAACAAGAAACAACCAGUAAUUAUUAAACUUCUCUGCAAACUUUUGUUUUUAAUUUAUAGGGAAAUUCAAAUUGGUUUGAUUUCGUCCAACAGUCCUAGUUGGCUUUCUCCUCCCAUCUUCUCUGUCGAAUGUUGCAUCACAUGAAACACAACCUCACUGUAUGAGAGUGAUUGUCACUUAUUGAGUGACAUUGUUUAAUGUUAAACCUACAAUGGGUUUGAUGAGAUAACCACUCAAAACGACAGGAAUCGUUAUCGGCCAAGGUUUUCGUGAUGCUCUUCCCCUUGCUUCCGUUGUUAUGUGAAAAUCGCAACCGGGAGUUACAAAACGGUUUGCGGGCCAAGUCCAACAAAGACACCGAAGCUGAAGUUAGUGAUCCUCGCCUUCAUUUGCGGACAACUGCUGGGUCUGCUUAGCCUCUACUCUCUGCAGCAAUGAGCCAAACGUCGCCCUCGCCAACCAAACGUAGAAAGAAUAUUGCCUAAAACUCUUGUCAUGGAAUCUGGAACUGCAUCGAAUGGGCUGGACAUCCCCAGGAGGCCACAAUAUUGAACACGACAGAGUUCGACGAUCGAAAAAAGUGGCAGUUUCAUUUCUUCUUCCCUAUUCACGAGGGCGUCCUUUUUCCCACCUGGUGUCAACUAGCUUUAAUAGUUUCUCAGUGGAUUGGAACACCAGGAGACUCCCGGCGGUAUUUCUCAGGCUUCAAGGUAGGACACAGUUAUUUACAUUGAAACUAUUUGCUGGUCACCAAACGAUAAAAGACUGCAUUCAUAGCGAAAAUUCAGACUAUUUCUAAUAGGAAUUUGUUGAGACUUGCGUUAAGCGACGCUCCUGUCGACAGUGAAAGACAAUUGCCGACCACAUUUGAUACUCGUUUACCGAAUUGGCGGUCAUUUGAAAUCUGAUGUGUGAAGUGAUUCCUUUCAUUGUCUUUAUUGUAGGUAAUAAGACGUUGCCGGUAGCGAAUUGGUUUUUGCAUAAUCUUUUGUUGAGGACGUCUAUGGAAGAACGUCGUGCGAAAUGCCAGAGUCCCUUUCGUAUACUUUGAAAAAUAUUCCAUGCACUGUCGGUUCCACUGAACUGCGCACAAGUUUUUAAGAUCCUAGGAAAGUUUCAGCUAUGAGUCUAUGGCCAACAAAGUAAUAGAAACAAGAGGCAUUUUGCUAACGAAAUUUUGAAUCGUUUGUUUUGAAUGUCGCCUUGAAUUAUGGAUUCAUAUCCAGGUGCCCCCUGUGUUAAUGCAAUGGAUACUUGGGCAACUUUCGAUGGUCACUCGUGUGUAAUGAUAAUCAAAUUUGGGCGGUCUUCAAACGAGGUGGGAGUUAUUCCCAGUUUUGUCUAUUUCCUCUGGAUAAUUGGCCUAGUGUCUGUGACAGAAACAUCGAUGUUUAUUACGAUACGGUGUAAUCGCUUACUAAUCCAGAGCAAAAAUCCGCAAAAAGCCUAUGUUCAAAAUGCGCCAAGUUUAUUUGUUAUUUUUGCCCCUCCCAACAAAAAUAAUUUUUUU
RNAcentral lists this long non-coding RNA (2226 nucleotides) under Daphnia pulex (common water flea). RNAcentral's name for it is "uncharacterized LOC124204608". The record is from RNAcentral. Lineage: Eukaryota; Metazoa; Arthropoda; Branchiopoda; Diplostraca; Daphniidae.